This 468-nucleotide ribosomal RNA is filed under the name uncultured bacterium. Its description in RNAcentral is "partial 16S ribosomal RNA". It matches the Rfam family "Bacterial small subunit ribosomal RNA", at positions 28 to 507 of the family's 1533-position model. The record is from RNAcentral.
GACGAACGCUGGCGGCGUGCUUAACACAUGCAAGUCGAACGGAAAGGCCCUGUUGUUGUGGGUUGCUUGAGUGGCGAACGGGUGAGUAACACGUGAGUAACCCGCCACUGACUUUGGGAUAACGUCAGGAAACUGGGGCUAAUACCGGAAAGGAGCUCUUGCUGCAGGGUGGGGGAUGGAAAGUUUUGGGGGUUGGGGAUGGACUCGGGGCUAAUCAGCUUGUUGGUGGGGGAGUGGCUUACAAAGGCUUUGAGGGGUAGCGGGCCGGGGAGGGUGACCGGCAACAUUGGGACUGGGAUAGGGCCCGGCCUCCUCCGGGGGGCGGAGGUGGGAAAUAUUGACAAAUGGGGGGAGGCCGGAUGCGGCAACGCCGCGUGCGGAAUAACGGCCUUCGGUUUUAAAACCGCUUUCGCAGGUGACGAGGCGUGAGUGACGGUAAUGGGUAAAGAAGCACCGGCUAACUACGUG